UUCGGAAUGGAAAUUGAUAUUCUAGCGGCGGACGGGUGAGUAACGCGUGAGCAAUCUGUCCCAGACAGGGGGAUAACAGAUGGAAACAUCUGCUAAUACCGCAUGAAGCAGGGGCCCCGCAUGGGGAUAUUUGCUAAAGAUUCAUCGCUGAUAGAUAGGCAUGCGUUCCAUUAGGCAGUUGGCGGGGUAACGGCCCACCAAACCGACGAUGGAUAGGGGUUCUGAGAGGAAGGUCCCCACAUUGGUACUGAGACACGGACCAAACUCC
RNAcentral lists this ribosomal RNA (268 nucleotides) under uncultured Parabacteroides sp. RNAcentral's name for it is "partial 16S ribosomal RNA". It matches the Rfam family "Bacterial small subunit ribosomal RNA", at positions 71 to 339 of the family's 1533-position model. The record is from RNAcentral. Lineage: Bacteria; Pseudomonadati; Bacteroidota; Bacteroidia; Bacteroidales; Tannerellaceae.